GAGGUUGUGGCUCAGUGGUAGAGCAUUCGCCUAGCAUGUGCAAGGUCCUAGGUUCGAUCCUCAGCACCACA
RNAcentral lists this transfer RNA (71 nucleotides) under Marmota monax (woodchuck). RNAcentral's name for it is "tRNA.Ala". Lineage: Eukaryota; Metazoa; Chordata; Mammalia; Rodentia; Sciuridae. The record is from RNAcentral.